CCUUGAUAAAGGCAAACCCGUCGAAAGACGGGGACGCAAAGCCACGGGCCUAAAGCAUUGCUAUGGCAGCCGGGUCGCCGGG
RNAcentral lists this non-coding RNA (82 nucleotides) under Dethiobacter alkaliphilus. Its description in RNAcentral is "c-di-GMP sequence". It matches the Rfam family "c-di-GMP-I-GGC riboswitch aptamer". Lineage: Bacteria; Bacillati; Bacillota; Dethiobacteria; Dethiobacterales; Dethiobacteraceae. The record is from RNAcentral.